AGCAGCACUGGGUCAGCCGGUGAACGGGUGUGCAGCGUCCUCAGCGCCGCAGCAGUCAGCACCUGUGGGUGCUCUAGCUCUUUCCCUCGGGGUCACCGGAGGCAGAGCCUCCCCUACGCGGAGUAGAGGAGCAGCUCACAUGCCGCCACAGAGGACACCAGAUCAUGCCAACACCCCCACAACUCCUGCCCGCCUGCAGGCAGCUCUGGGCUCAGGACACCGCCUGCAAGAACCUUUAUAGCGCAGCUCUCCAAACCUUGGAGGCGAGGACAUUCUAUGUGCCCGCCCUGGAAAGGCCUGAACCUAUAACAUCUGGGCUGUGAUGGUUUCUGAGGUGGACACCAGGACCAACACUUGUCAGCAUGGCACAAUCAGGCAUUUCUCUUCUAAGUAGGAUGUGCAGCCAAAAACUCAGCUGUCUGUGAGCUGUCUUCUCCCAGGAACGAGGACAUAAGAUGUACAUCAGGUCUGAACUGCACAGAUCCACUUACAUGUGGAUUUUCUUCCACUGCGGCCUCUCCUGAGACAGCAAGACCAACCCCUCCUUUUCAUCCUCCUCCUCCUCCUCAGCCUACUCAACAUGAAAAUGACAAGGAUGAAACCUUUAUGAUGAUCCACUCAUCCAUUUUCUUUUCUCUAGCUUAUUGUGAACAUCUUAGGCUAGUGUGUCGACUUCUGACUUGGCUCAUCUGAACCCAAGUCCUUGGACACAUUCACAAACACCCCAGGGUCUUGGGCUUCCAGUUUGUGCUAGAAGGACAAAGGGCAGGUGAAGCUUGUUUGCCGUAACUAGAAGGAGCAGAAACUGCUCCCAGCAGAACAAGAUCAAAUCAUGGGGAACAGUGGUCACCUGCCAUUUCUAGAGGAAGCUUUUGCUUUUGGUCACUGAGGACCCUAAGUCUUACAUGAGAAGAAAACAAAUAGGGUGAUGCUGCAUGCUUCUGUCCCCAAAGAAUCCCUGUGCAGGUGCCGAGGGUGCCCCAAAGACGAGGCUGUGCUUGCCGUGCCCACCACAGAAGCACAUUUGACCUGAUCAAAAGCAGGUGGAAAAGGUCCUGAAGCACAGAUAUUUUCUCAGUGAUGUUGUUUUCUCCAAAAUGAAAGAGGGAAGGUACCCUGGCUUAGGCCCCUGGUGUUCUGAUUGAAGGUGAGAAUGGAAGUAUCUUCUUCAACAUGUUCUCCCAUCUGACUGCAACAAGUGUGCUCCAGCCACCAGUGUCCCAGUUGCUCUGAAUGAUGGUGAGAAGGGUACCCAAACACUUGAAUGGUACUGUACCCUCUACUUGCCAUCUGAAUCCUCACUUGUGGAACCCAGGCACUCUGGCUGUAUUCGCGAGUAAGCAUAGGUGUGGGACUGUGUCCUGCCAUUGCACCAUCUUUAAUCUGGACUUGUGGACCUCAGGCUCUCUGACUAUUCAUGGACAGAAGUUUCUGCAGGCACAGGUGGGGUGCUGUUUCCUCCCAUUGUACACCUGAAUUCAGGACUUGUGGACCCCAGGUGUUCUGGCUGUGUUCAUGAACAGAAGUGUCCCCCCCAAACAAACCCAUAUAUGGUGCCAUCUCCUCCCAUUACAGGUAUGGUGCCAUCUCCUCCCAUUGCAGGCAUUGCACUGCCUAUACUCUGGACUUAUGGCCCUCACAUGCUCUGAUUGUAUUCAUAAACAGUAGUUUCUUCAGUCACAGAUAUGGCACCAGCCCCUCCAACAGAAACAGAUGUGCUCAAGCUGAGUGGUCCAAAGGCGUUUGACAGAAGUCAUGAACAGAAGUAUCUUGGGGCACAUGUUUCUUCUCUGUUGUGCAGGCUUCUCCAGCAGUAACAGGUUUGCCCAGGCCAUAUGGGCCCCAAGCGCUCUGACCAGACACAAGAAGAGAAGACUUGCAGUCACAGGUAGUGUGUUGUCCCCUGCUACUGCAACAUAGGUGCUUGGAAAGGUGCAACAGGGUGCUCUGCUUGUGGUGGAAACAUAAAGGCCUCCAAGC
This is a long non-coding RNA of Homo sapiens (human), 1980 nucleotides long. Ensembl annotates it as long intergenic non-protein coding RNA 1801. NCBI's taxonomy places the organism in Eukaryota, Metazoa, Chordata, Mammalia, Primates, Hominidae. The record is from Ensembl.